UACGGAGGGUGCAAGCGUUAUCCGGAAUCACUGGGUUUAAAGGGUGCGUAGGCGGUUUGAUAAGUCAGAGGUGAAAGCUAGCAGCUUAACUGUUAAAUUGCCUUUGAUACUGUCAGACUUGAAUCAGGUUGAGGUAGGCGGAAUGUGACAUGUAGCGGUGAAAUGCAUAGAUAUGUCAUAGAACACCAAUUGCGUAGGCAGCUUGCUGGGCUUGAAUUGACGCUGAGGCACGAAAGCGUGGGGAUCAAACAGGAUUAGAUACCCUGGUAGUCCACGCCCUAAACGAUGUUAACUCGAUAUUUAUUCUUCGGAGUGAGUGUCCAAGCGAAAGCGUUAAGUUAACCACCUGGGGAGUACGUUCGCAAGAAUG
This 370-nucleotide ribosomal RNA is filed under the name uncultured prokaryote. RNAcentral describes it as "bacterial SSU rRNA". It matches the Rfam family "Bacterial small subunit ribosomal RNA", at positions 524 to 896 of the family's 1533-position model. The record is from RNAcentral.